RNAcentral lists this unclassified non-coding RNA (348 nucleotides) under uncultured Hypocreales. Its description in RNAcentral is "sequence contains ITS1". The stretch from base 1 to 105 matches the Rfam family "5.8S ribosomal RNA", at positions 50 to 154 of the family's 154-position model. Lineage: Eukaryota; Fungi; Ascomycota; Sordariomycetes; Hypocreales. The record is from RNAcentral.
GAAAUGCGAUAAGUAAUGUGAAUUGCAGAAUUCAGUGAAUCAUCGAAUCUUUGAACGCACAUUGCGCCCGCCGGUAUUCCGGCGGGCAUGCCUGUCCGAGCGUCAUCUCACCACUCAAGCCCGGCUUGGUGUUGGCCGACGCGGGUACUGCGGGUUAGCAUCACCUACCAGGUGAGGCGAGCCUCCCCGCGCGGCUCAAAUAUAGCGGCGGAAACGGUGUCGAGUUUCCCUUACGCGGUAGCAUAAUCUCGUAUCGGAUGACCUUCCCGGCUCUGCCACAACCCACGGGGGCCUCGUGCCCCCUCUAGGUUUGACCUCGGAUCAGGUAGGAAUACCCGCUGAACUUAA